GAAGAGCCUCCUUCGUUUGAUUCAGAAGAUCAACAAAGCCUUUAGUGAUGCUGCUGUUAAAGACUCGCAGGUUACUUUCCUCAUUCACAGUACAUCAAUUUGAACUUGAAGGAACUCAACAUAACAAUCUGUGCAUAUAAUAUUGCAUUCAGAACAUUGAAAUCCUUCAACCCACUUCGUCUUGAAUAAUUCAGAUUUUAAUUCUGGUUGAAGAUCGAAACAAAAUGACAAAAAGCUAUUUGGAGCAACAUCAACAAUUUGCUGAGAGUUCCAGGACGCAGAUCACUGUGCCAUUAUGGAUAAAAGCAGACAACAGCUAAACUGUUAGAUUCAGGUCUCACCAUUCUCAUAACCUAAGGAUUCUAAAAUAAUUGUAAACUGCAACUAAGUGUACCUUCCAUGCAACAGCUGGCUGACCCUUUGUUUUCUUCAGUUUGUUAUCUGAAUAUGCAUGUAGUUGGAAUCAGUAGUUACAGGGAAAAAAAUCAGGAAAAUGAUGCCGAGGAUGAUUACUCACAGUAAAAAAUAAGAAGGCAGCCCGGGAGAAGGCAGCAGAUUCAGGAAAAAGGGGAAGAAAAGCUGAAGGAAGAUGAGAAGACCAUCUGUAUGGACUUUAACAGAUUAAUUGCUAAUUUACUUGUGUUUUGGAACAGCAUAUUAACAGAAUUGUGGUCAGCUAGGGGAUAGUGGUUAGUUAAAGGAAAGAAUGUUUGGUUUGUUAAUAGUUUUGUUAGUGUUCAC
Chiloscyllium plagiosum (whitespotted bambooshark) is the source of this 741-nucleotide non-coding RNA. The record is from RefSeq and is a predicted model, not a curated record. Lineage: Eukaryota; Metazoa; Chordata; Chondrichthyes; Orectolobiformes; Hemiscylliidae.